UCCGUCCGCAGGCUUCGCUGGCUGACCGUGAGAUCCCGAGGCCGCCGGCCCCGCAGGCUUUCGUCCUGGAGGGCAGCGACCUUCUCCUCAAGGGCACCUCAGAGUGCCCGCUUCCUCGCAUUACUUAGGAAAUGUUGAAUGAGUGAAUGAACAAGCAGCGGUCUGUCUUCCUCAUCAAAGUGGAAACUCUGGAAGGGGAGAGAAAGCCUGCCUGUUCACCUCUGUAUGCUUGGCACCAUGGGAAGGAGGGUCUAGUUUUUGUGGAGCUGAAGCUUGUAGCGUUUGGUCUGCCCUUUUAAAGACAUAUAAAAUACAAAAUCACCAAAGCCAGGGCCAAGAAAGUCUUUGUAGAGGUGACCAUGUCUGGAACAACUCUUGGCAGGAGCCUUAGUUGACCUCCAGUGCAGCCUGAAUGGAGCCGAGCAUCUCAGGUAAAAAUAAGUGUUGUACAAAGUUGCAAUUUUUAUGUAACUUUCAUACUCAGUUUAGCUCAGUGUGUGUACUCAGCACAUAUUUACCCAUUAAAUUGCAACCAAUCAGAUGGUCAUGACACUUCAGGGUUUUUCCCUCUCUGCUUAUCAUAUUACCUGUUCAUUCUUCCUGUUGUUUAUUUUGGACAAAGCACCUUCCUGAUGUCAGAUUUCCAUCUCAUUGAAUUGUGGUUAGGCAUUAAGUUUAAUAACACCAUUGAAACUAGAUCUUUUGUUUUCCUCCACAGGCUGGUUUUUGCUGCCUCAUUUCUUUAAAUGUUUAGCUCUUAUGCUCAGAUUUGCUGAAUCUAUAUAUUUUCACAGUAAAGACAUACUGUGAAACAUUUACCCAUUGAAUUGUGGACGAAUAAGGUAGGAAGGGCAUUUCAGACUUACUCUACCUAAACAGCUCCCAGCCAUGAUGAAUAUACCUGUUUGCAGGGGGAGCUUGAUUAGUUAACUCAUUUGGAUUGUGAGGUGAUGGUGACCUUGGGGAUGGAAAGAGAGCUGAGAGUUGGGUCUAAAAGAUUGGGGUCUGAUCAUGGAUUCUGCUGCUUAGAAGUGGGAGAUUUGGCCAAGUCCUCUUACCUGUGCCUCCCUUUCCAUUUCUUUAAAUGGGUAGGAUCAGACUCUCCUUACCCAUAGACUAGUUUUUGGGAUUUUCCAUCUCUCUGGAGAGAACAUGCUGUGUGUUACUGCUGCUCUUCACUAGCUGCCCCAUCGGUGGCUCCAGGCUUUAGUCCCUAAACCACUCAGCUCUCUUGUAUUUUUAGUCCUUGCUUGCAAAGGACAACCCUAUAAGUGCUUACAGGAAACUGAAAAUCCUGAGCAGGUACUAAGAUCAUUGACAGAGGAGAGAGCAGCGGCCCUCUUUUGUCAAGGUGAAACCUUGGUCACAGUGGGAAGUGCGUGGCAACGUGCGCUGUUCUUUCCCUCCCUGUGGCCAUAGAGGCCAGAGUGAAUUUCCCAGUAGGGCUGUGUGGCCAGACUUCUUUGCCAUAUGUGCCCCAGCAGCCCUUGGCAGUUGUUGGGCCUGCAUUGAAUGGGAAAUCUGCUUGAUAGCCUACCAGACCUUCAGGAAAAAUCAAAUCUAGUGUUUGGUGCACAACCCUGGACCUUUUCAGUUUUUCAAAGGACUUUGAGUUCAUGUUGUUUGGGCGGGAAUGUGGAUGCCCAGGUAAGUGGACAUUGGCCAGAGCCCUGGCAGCUGAGGCCACAGGACAGAGCCAGAGAUGGGAGCCAGGAAUUUUGACCCCAGUCUAAUGGUGUGUAUCCCCGCUGCCCAACCCUAGCCACUCUCCGGCCAGAAUUCCCACUAUACUUUUAACCCAAAAUUUCCUUGACUUCUGAGUGGCUACGCAUUUCUUCUUCUUGAGUGAGUACUGCAUUAAUAACCGAGGACUGAAUGGGAUUGGAGCAGAAAGGCCUGAAUUUGAAGGCCUCUUACUAUGUGGACUUGGGCAAGUUACUUAACCUCAGUUUUCUCAUUUCUAAAAUAAAAUGCCUAAUAUUGGCCUUACGAAGCUGUUCUGUCGCUGAAGUGAGAGCAGGCCUGCACUCCUCCCGCUUCCCCCAGUGUGAAAUAACAGUCACCCGACAGAAGGGAACUAAUACAUGGAGCAAAAUAGGACCUCUUGGCUCUUGUGUCUGGGGAACACCGGGUGGAGCUGCUUCUCUGUUUCUUACCCAUAACCCCCAGGGACUACUCCUGAGCCCUCAUUGUGGCAUCAGAGGAUAAGGUUCCUCAAAGGCCCAGGUGGUCUGUCUUCCCCACUACGUGGGCAGCACACGGAUACUACGACGGCCAUCCCAGCAGAACUGGGGUGAGGGUGCUGUGUCUCAGAGCAGGAGAAAGGGACACCAGACACCAAAAAGGCUCCCAGCAGCGCUUCACCCAGGGCCUGACCUGCCUUCCCCACCUGGCGCUCUUCAACUGUGUGGCGAGAGAAAGCUAGACUUGGAGGGGUUUGUAAUGGCAGGCUUUGGUGUGGGGAUGUGUCGGAGGCACCUCAUGGGGCAGCACUGCCAUUUGUUUCCCUAUUUAUAAAUGUGCCAGAGGCCAGGGGAAUUGGCACCCGAGAGCCCAGACCCCGCAAAGCACCCGACUGUAGCCCGGGCCAGCGGGGCCAAUGAGAAGCACUGAACAAGGCACUCGGUGGCUGCCGCUAGGUGCCAGGCCACCUCAUCUAGGCCUCAGUUUCCAUGUCAGGAAAACUGAGCCUUUAGGCUAGACAUCGGCAGCGAUCCUUGUAAGCAGAGGUUUUGAUGGCCUGUGAGGUACUCGCCAUCCUGAGCUGUUGCCUAUUUUCAGAGGAGGUAUGGAGAUGAGUUUUUCUUGGUUUAUUAGACAUUGCUUUUGUGAAAACUAUGUCAUCUACUUUUCCUUACCCCCAAAUCAAUAAUGACUUUUAUUGUAUCUUAAAGAUAUGUCACAGAUAAGUCUGAGAAAUCAUCCAUUAUCUGGCUGUUUCUGUAGCCGUACAACUUAAGUCUCAUCAGCCUGCUGAACUGUUCCUUUUUCAGAAACAUAGAUCCCAUCCAAACAUUUCCUCAUAUCCUUGUUUUUAACUGUUGUGGCUUGCUGAAUCAAAGCAGCUGAAUUUAUACAAGUUCACUGUCAUUUCCUUCAAGAAUUAACUCAUCUUUCUGGGCUCGAAAUGCUGAACAAAUGGUGCCUGGCCUCCAAACCCUGCAAAUGUAUUUUUCACCCAAGAAAUUUUGGAUUUCAACAAGAGACUCACAGCAGUGUUGAUGGGGAAGUGAGCACGCACAGACCUCACUUUGUCCGGGAGCCCGGAGUAGCCCCCGGUCGUGUCCUGCACGCGAGUGCAGAGAGUGAACAGCAGCCAGUUCCUUUCUACUGCUCCACCAUCUGUCAGCCUGGAGGCCCUUUGCUUUCCAGGGAGACUGAGUUCCACAUCGACAUGAUGGAAUCGCUCGACAGGCCUCUGGGCCCUUCUCGACAGCAGCUCGACCCUUCAGGGAGGUGGCGCGUUUCCUGGAACGUCUGCAGUCUGGCUGCUGAGAAUGGGCUUCAUCCUGGCAGUAGAUGCGGCGGAAGCACUUUUACUUUGUAAGGAACUCAUUAUCUUCAGUUCCUGGCUGAAGUUCGAAUUCGCCAAGAUCAAUGGCUUGAUCUGCAGGUCUCUGCCCACGUUGAGACCGUCUUCAGCUGCCCUGUGUAAAGAGCCCACGCUCUGUUUCUGCCUUACCUUCUUUUUAGACAUAACGUGUCAUGUGUCUACUUACUCACUGGAAUGUGUGUUCCAUGAAAACAAAGACUUGGUGUUGUCUCCCAUGGACUCCGUAGGUCUGGAGCGGUGCAGGGACAUAGAUAGCGGUAAAUGUUUCUUUCAUUCACGAGUCAGUGUUCAUCUACUGUGUCGCUCGGCUUUCCCUUUGGGAGCUGUCCGGGCUUUCCGUUCUAGAAAUGUGUAAUUCUAACAUGACUUCUAAAAUUACACCUUAUACACUUACAACUUAACCAGUAGCCGGAGUAAACAUUAAGUAGAUAGUAGCUUCUGUUUUAUUCCUAAGGUUCAGUGCCUACCUCAGGGCAUUUAUACUUUAGUGCAGAAGCAGACAUGAGAUUAGCUGGGACCCAGGCACAAGCGCCAGCCCCCACCCCUUGCCAUCCAUCCCUGUCUCAGACAUAGCGCUCACCUUGUGCGCAGGCUGUAUGGCCCAGAGGCAGAGCUGGGACCACCAGAGUUAUUAUCCAGGGUGCCUGGAAAGAGACUUACACCAGGGAUUGCGUGUAAUCCUGCUUCCGUGGGCUUUCAGACGAGGGAGUGUGGUUUGAAGAAGGAAUAUCUAACAGCAGGAGCCAAGGGUCAGAGAGAAGCUGGAGAUGGUCAGAUAGGGCAGGAACAAACUAGGAAGCCAGUGAGACAAUAGAACCAAGACUGUUAAGGGAGCCUGAGUGUGUCGAGUCACAUGCACUUUUUUUUUUCCUUUUAAACAAAUGCAGAAACCCUUUUGCAGCAGCAGUAAGGAGCAACUUUGGCCACAGCCACGUGAGGGGCUGGUAAGAGAGAGGUUCAUUAGCCAGCCUGUCCUUGCCCUACCCUUCCCCCUUUUUGAGGAGCCUCUUUGAAGGGAGCCGUAGGGUCAGAGACGCACAGGUUAGAGACCUCUGCACCACUCUAUCCCGGGCCUCUCCCAGCUCCCUGCUUUGGGUCUCUGUGGCUCGAAAUCACUACAUGUGGCUGUAAGCAGAACCCUAGGGGAGAGACUUUUCGGGGUAUUCGUAGUGAUCCCACGUGUAGAUUACAUUCUGACGUUAUCCUAGCACCUAUGAGGUCUGCAGCUUUGGAAAUUACAUUUAGGCAGUAAUUGAUGUAUCCCAGCACCCUCUAAGCAGCCAACACCUGGUGUGCGUCAGGGACUGAGGACACAGCAUGAUGAGCCAUGCGUCAUGCUCUGAGAAAAUGCAGAUCAAGGAUAACUUAGUCCCCUGGAAAGAGCCAGCGGGAUCCUCAGCGUGCAGGUGAUAAUCAGUGUGGACUUUGAAGGAUGAGAACCAUUCCGCCAAAGGAAGGGGGUGAGGACAUUGCUGGUGGAGGGGAGAGUGAGCACUGUCCCUGUCACACACGGGGGAGCAGAGACCAGGCUUGGGAUGGCUGGAGCACUUUCCUGAGGAGGCCUGGCAGAGGUGAGGUACAGGAGAUGAGGCUGUGCUAGAUCUGGGUGGCCAGAGCUGGGUCCCAACUUUGGCCCCCAGGCCAAAUCCGGGCCAACUGCUUAGCUUAGUAAAAGGGCUUUUGUGGGAGUGUGACUGUGUUCUUGUCUCUACAUGUAGCCCUGGGGCUAUUUGCUGUAAUGGCCGAGUUACGGAGCCUAAAAUUUACUAUUUGACUCUUUUGAGAAAAAGUUUGCCAGUCUUGGGGUGAGAGCAUCGUCAGCAGUACUGAGGAGUUGGAGCUUUCUGCCCUGAGCUGUGUGAGCAGAGACGCAGAUCCUGCUUGGGCUUUAAAUAAUCAGCACUGAAGAUGGGAUCACGACGUGGCUCGUGGCCAACACAGGAGAGCUGGGAAGGAGGCUGGUGCAGUGAUUCAGGUGGAAGCUGAUGUGCUGGUGACAGUAGGGAGGGACAGAAGACAAAGAUCUACUUAGGCAGGCUCAACAAAACGUAAUUAUUGGGGCUAGAAAGAGCAGAGGUAGGUAGAAUGAUUCCUACUUUCUGGUUGGAAAGUUUAAAAGCUAAUCUAUAGCACAGAGAUGUCUUAGGGUUGGACUUGCAUUCCAGUUACUUGUGCCUCCUCUCAGUUCUGACAGCUGAGAAGAGAUGCAGGGGGCCAGGGACAUAGGAGUCUGUGCACACCUGGUAAGCCUGGAUGGAGAGCAGGGCUGGAAUCCUGUGGGUUCUCCAGUUUUGUCAUAUGGACAUCUGGGGACACGAGUCUAUAAAAUAGACUCAAGAGCCUGUGCCCAGCCAGCUGCACGGAAGCUUGAGACCUGCCUUACCAGUGCAGCCAGCGCUGAGCUGUGCCCUCUUAUGCCAGAAACACAGGCAGCCCCACCAGCCUGCCCCGGGACUCAGCAGGGCCUGUUCAGGAGCCAGGCUCUUAGGCAGAGUCUGCUCUUGAAGGAAACACAUUUGGUAGUAAUGAUCAUGUCACAUUCUAGAAGCAUGGUUCUCAGGCACGGUUAGGUUUCUCUGUUUUAAGAAAAACUGGCACACCGGACAGAGGGAAGCUCCUCUCUCCUCAGUUUCUAGCUGGUGGGGCCCCAGCAGUUCAGUGGAUCACCACUAGGAUGGGGCCGCUGCACCGGGGCCCCUUGGGGACAUUUUUAAUGAAUUCUUCUGUCCAGGGCCUGGGUCCAUCUUGCAGACUUGAGAAUCAGACUUGUCAACAUUCGGAGCAUGGAACCAUUUGGCAGAGCAGAUGCCGACUGAGUGCUCGCCAGCGUGUGUGCAGCCAGGGCCCAUUUCCUCACCUGCUCCGAGCAUCAGCUAGUUCUUGGGAGGAUCCACAUUGUGGAGAUAGUUAUUUUUGAGCUUCUGCCAGAGAUCGGGACCUCUGUUAAGGAGCUCCUGACCUCGUUUAAUUUUUCUCUUGGGAGCAUAGAACUAUUAAGUGAUUUUAUAAUAUUCAUCAUACUAUGAGUAAUCAGGAAUUCAUACAGACUUGAUAUGUGAGGCUUCUCGUGACAUGGCAGUUCCUAUUGGCUCCCUCUGGUGGGCAAAGUGUCAGUGAAGUCCUCUGGGUCAGUCACAGCUUGCUUUGUGAAAAACUACACGUAAGCCAUAUUAGGUGUAAAAGUGACUUAAAGGCGGUCCCUCGGAAUCUCUAAAAGAAAGUGAACAGCCAGAGAAUUGAAGGUAAGGGGUGCUGUUAGAGCUCUGAGAUCGCGGGUGUGGACAGCCUGACCCACGUGCCCCUCGGCUCCGUCUGCCUUCUCCUUCCUGACAUUCUCCUUCCAGGCCUGUCAAUACCGGAGUUUGCUGGCUCCAACUCGUCACAGUCUGUCAGGAGUUUCCUGCAGGACUCAGUGCUUUUAGCCGGGAGAGGGGUCUGCUUCAUGUUCCUGCCACACCUUAGACAGGGGAUGAGACGCCCUGGCAGAACAGCCUCUGCCUUUCACCGUCAAAGUAGAAGUGGCAGACCCCGGCCUAUCUUGACUUGGAGAAAUUAAGAAAGGCAUUAAAAAGUAUAAGUGCCGAAUUUUAGACAUUUUUGGACUUUGCCAGUAACUAUCUGAAUGAUCUUGGAGAAUUCCCUAACCUCUUUUGGUUUUGUUGGUUUUUUCCCUCAUUUUUCUAAUUGUUGAACCAGGGACUUGGGCCAAGUAGGCCUGAAGGACCUGGCCGACAGGAUGGCCUGUGACUCUGCCUGAUCUCCCAGAGUCCCGGGACAGAGCACUCCCUGGCCCUUCCCACCACUGUCUACCUACUCGAAAUUUUUCACAUAGAUGAAAAAGAGUUUGUUUUUUGAAGUUGGUAUUUAGUCUAUUUCCACAAAUGUCUUGAUUUAAUAUCAGUUGUAUACUCUAAAAUGGACUGAGAUGGGGGACAUGAUUUUGAAGUUGACUUUUAAAAUCUAAUUAUAAAACUAGUAAGUGCUCAUUAAACAGAAUGAAGAAGAAAAUAAAAUGUACACAUAGGACUCAACUGGCCAGAAGUAGCCACUGUCACACUGUUACAGUUUUGGUGCAUGUUUUUCCAGACUUCUGCCUAUGAAACAAAACCAGAAUUUUUCUACAGUACCACCACAUAGGCCCUCAUUGUUUGUUUUCUUGCCUUUUUUACUUAAUAACAAUGUAUUAUAAAUGUUUUCUCUAUGUCAGUAUAUAUUGCUCAAUGCAACCAAUUUAUUGGCCACAUAGCUGCUAAAAAUCUGAAACUUGUUUACCUGAACCCUUCCUGGAAGAUAUUUAGGUUGCUUUCAGCUCAUUCCUCUUUUUCAAAAACAGUAUAGUUAAAGCAAGUUUAAAAUCUUUUAAAAAGAUUAGGAGGCAAAAAAUAAAUUUGCCUUUCUUGUUCUCUAUUUAAUCUUUUCUCAAAUAUAAAAGUUGGAUGUCCUGAUGUUGCCAGAGGAAAGUUAUCCCUGAUUUUGGGGGAAAGUGUUCAGUGUGUCAGAAUUUAUACCAGCUCUGGGAUGACUGGCGUAGACAGGGGGUGAGGCCACAGGAGCAGAGCCUUGGAGAGGGAUGGUAGGAGUCAGCAGAAGCUCACUGUGUUUCAGUGACACUGCGGAGACCACUGCGUAGGCGUGGGGCGUCUUGGUGAGCAGUGUGAAGUGAACUUGGCUUUAUGGACCUGUUACAUUUCAGACAAAAGUCAUCGGCGAUCCCGUAUCUCAAUUAUCACUUGAAAAUCUAAGGAAACAUUUACUGUAGUAACAAAAUCAUCUCUAAAAAUAACCUUAAUAUGAUAAAGAAUGUAAGUGGCCCAUUUAAAGAGAACUUUAAAAUUUUGUAGUGCAAUAUAGAAGUUUUGUAUAAAUAGAAAAACAAUUGUGUAGCUAGGAAGGAAGAAAAAGUGUUGUGAAUACAUCCAUUCCUAAAUCAGUUGUAGAUUUAGUGCAUCUUUAAUCAGGAUUCAGACAGAACUUUUUUUGAGAGGAACCUGAAAGUCAUUCUGAAAUUUAUGGAGGAAAAAAGGUGUGUGAGAAUAGCUAGUUUUUGAAGAGUAGUAGCAGAUCAUGUGUGGGGGGUGAGGGACUAGCCUUUGCAGGUAUUGCAACGUUUCAAGCAGAAGAUAAUAUAAGGCUUGUCAGGGAAGCCUGUUAGGCCAGGUGUGUGUGUAAACUUACCUUGAUGAGGGCGGCAUUGUCAGGUUUAUGUCAUGAUGAUUUGGGGAUAAUUGUUAGAGUAAAACUGAAGAAAAUGGAUGUGGAUGUUGUCCCGUCUUCUAGAAGAGGAUGGUCUUUCUGAAUUUAAAAACAAGCAGCAGCUGUCCUCAUGACGGUGUGGGGUGGUUUCGAUGGUGCUCAUGAUGGAGCUUCAUGCAGACACAGCAUUGCUCCCUCGCUGGGCUGGUGGUGAGCGCCCCGGCGUGUGCACGAUGCAGGACUUGCUUGGUGUCACUAAAGGAUAAAAACUUGCUACCAAGGGGUCUCCCUGGUGGUGUGUAAGGGGUUAAGUCUUAGCACUCUGAAGCUGUCUGAAGCCCCUGCAGCAUGAGUUUGAUCCCCUGCCAGGAAGCUGACCCACAUGGUGCGGCAGACCUCUCCUGUCUCCCCGUGGUCCCCUCUCAGCAGUGGAUUUCAGUGCGUCUACCUGUUCUGCUCCCCACUCUGUCUCUGGUGGAUCCUACCCCUGCACCUCUGGCCUGCAUAAAUUCUCUUAUGCAUAAAUCUUUAAAAAAACCCAAAUCUUGCUACUGAGACCAGAUACAACCAAAACAACGUGUGCGCAGUCAAAACACUCCAAGCGUGAUUGGCAGGAAUCCACCAAAAUGUUCACGAUGGCUUCUCUGAGUGAUGGGACAAUGGAUGAUUCUUCUGUCUCUAUUUUCCUGAAUUUCUUUAAUGAAUAUAUGCUACCUUGGGAACAAAAAGCCAGACAGAACAAGUAAAAUUCCCAGCAGAUGAGUUUUUAUUUGCUGUGGUAGGAAAUGGAGACAAAUUAAUACCUUUUGAUUAGAAAGAGGUCACGAGUAGCCCUGUCUAAUUAUAUGUCAGGCGCACCACAGAGGGGCCCCCAUCUGAAGGAAGUCUGCGGUGAAGCCUUUCGUGAAGGGAGUAAUUUUCCUGUAACUCGUGGAUUUUCAGUCCAGACUUUCUGGACCUGUACAAGAAGAUCGUCCACAAAUGUUGCGUUGAUGCCUUCGCGUUCUCUUGUCAGCCUAAGACAAAGCCCGCUGAGCGCCACUUCUGCCAGCACUGGCCGGUAGUCCUCGGCUUCCUCGCCUGCUGGGUGCCCUCACUUGUGAGGAAACCGAGGUCCGGAAGGCCAAGCGGCCCGCUGGGGAGCGUGU
Molecule: long non-coding RNA, 9894 nt
Organism: Talpa occidentalis (Iberian mole)
Lineage: Eukaryota; Metazoa; Chordata; Mammalia; Eulipotyphla; Talpidae
Exons: 3
Source: RefSeq, a predicted model, not a curated record